RNAcentral lists this unclassified non-coding RNA (229 nucleotides) under plant metagenome. RNAcentral's name for it is "partial contains small subunit ribosomal RNA, internal transcribed spacer 1, and 5.8S ribosomal RNA". The record is from RNAcentral.
UUUCCGUAGGUGAACCUGCGGAGGGAUCAUUACAGAGUUCUCGCCCUCGCGGGUAGAUCUCCCACCCACUGUUAUCGUUACUGUGUUGCUUUGGCGGGCCGCCGGGCCCCGCUCGGCCGCCGGCUCCGGCUGGCGCGCGCCCGCCAGAGGCCCAGCAAACUCUGAAUGCUAGUGUCGUCUGAGUACUAUAUAAUAGUUAAAACUUUCAACAACGGAUCUCUUGGUUCUG